GGUGGUGAACUAUAGGAACACCGAGGACUAUCGGAAGUUCGUCGCGGAGACGAUUGCCUCCGAAACCAAAGCAGUCGAGGCGCUUGGCCUCGGCAAGAAGAAAAAUUAAGGCACGCAAAAGCGUGCAUCGCGAUGUGGCGGAAGAUCACGCGCGUUCGUGUCCAGGAGGGGAGGACUUGCGAUCAUGGAUCGUCAGGAAGCGCGUCGAGGUUUGCNCAGUUCCGAACUGUGGGGCGGGCUCGUCGGCCUUGCGCUCGGCAUCUUCGUGAUCUGGGCC
RNAcentral lists this unclassified non-coding RNA (277 nucleotides) under Hevea brasiliensis (rubber tree). The record is from RNAcentral. Lineage: Eukaryota; Viridiplantae; Streptophyta; Magnoliopsida; Malpighiales; Euphorbiaceae.